CCCCAAAGAAGAACACUCAAAGAAUAUAUAAACCUAUCUCUCAAAACUCAUUGUUUCGAAAACCAAGCAACAUUCAAUGGCAACUCACUACUUGUUCCAAAAGGCUAUUGUUCAUCAUUAUCACGACUCUUUAGGAACACAAUCCUUAGAGUGCAUUUAUGGUAGAAUCUUAAAAGUAUUAUUACAAUGUUUCACUAUUAAGUAAGACCACUAUUCAGAACAAGUUGUUAAAGAAAGGACCAGGAGGACAAGAUGUCUCGAAGAAAGCCACUUUGUAACUCCCCUCUCAACUUGAAUUGGGGGAACAUUGUUAUACCACCAUCUGUGUAAGGACACAUGGAAAGCCAAAAGGACACCUAAAUAGUAAGCCAGUUGAUAGAAAAUCGAGAAGUCGCCCACAAGUCCUCCGUUCUAGAGAGACCAUCCAAAAAAAUGUAAGCUAUCUAAUACCCGAGUCUUCAGGCUUUCGUAGGGAACAGGGAGUCAUUGGUUACCAAACACCACAUGGGCUCAACUACUUUAUACCAUCAAGUCAAAUUGAAUGACAGGAUCUAUCCCAUCACAGACAUGCUCGUCCCAUCGAAGACAUCCGCCGCACGUGUUUCGUAAUGAUAGCUAAAUGGCAAGUCCAACAUGUUAACAUCAUCUUACAUGGAACCCUUGCCUAUAAAUAACUUCAGGAACAAUGAAGAAAGAAUCGACUCUCUAGAUAUACCAAGCCAAUUGUCAUCCCACUUCCAGAUCACAGCUUUGGCAGUUUCCUCACCAUCACUCUUUACUACCUCCGACUCUCC
RNAcentral lists this long non-coding RNA (794 nucleotides) under Gossypium barbadense (sea-island cotton). RNAcentral's name for it is "long non-coding RNA (GBAR_LNC021806)". Lineage: Eukaryota; Viridiplantae; Streptophyta; Magnoliopsida; Malvales; Malvaceae. The record is from RNAcentral.